CCAGAAAUCAAGAGCUUUUCUAGUCUUGCAGGUGGAAGCACGCAGUAUUGGUCUCCCUUGGUGAAUACCAGGUGGCAUUUGAACCAAAGUCCUCACUGCCUGCAUGUGCAUUGAAGGAACCAGUACCAACACUUGAGAAACAGAGUUGGUGGGGUGGCUUGGAGUCAAAUCCCAGGAGGGCAUAGUAAGCCCGGGCUGGAGUUGAACCUGCAAUGCUCCCACCUCAGCCUACAGAAUGCCAAGAUUACAGGUGUGCACUGCCAUGGCUGGCUAAAGUUAAGGACCUUGAGAUGAAGAGAUUAGCCUGCAUUAUCCAGGUGGGCCCAAAUUAAUCACAAUCCUUAAAAGUGGAGGGGUUCUUCUGGAAGGAUGGUUAGACAGAAACAGCAUGGUACUUUAGAGAACAAAGGAAGAUAGGCAUAAAACACAACUUCUACAAACUGGAAAAGGCAAUGAAAGGGACUCUGCCCCUACGGUCUCUUGAGAGGAAUGCUACUCUUCGGACACCUGAGUUUCAAUUCAGUGAGACAUGUGUUUAACUUUUGACCUAUGAAACUGUAAGGUAAUAAGUCUGUGUCGUUUUAAGCCACUAAACUUGUGUUUGUCACAGCACCAAUAGAAAACUAACACAGAUAAUUUAAGAAAAACAAAUUUUAUCUGAUAUUUGAAGAUCUUUAUUUCAUCUAUUCCUUGCAUACUUUAGAC
Long non-coding RNA from Heterocephalus glaber (naked mole-rat), 705 nucleotides. The record is from Ensembl. Lineage: Eukaryota; Metazoa; Chordata; Mammalia; Rodentia; Bathyergidae.